Molecule: RNA transcript, 4062 nt
Organism: Pleuronectes platessa (European plaice)
Lineage: Eukaryota; Metazoa; Chordata; Actinopteri; Pleuronectiformes; Pleuronectidae
Exons: 5
Source: RefSeq, a predicted model, not a curated record
GCUGAUACACUUCAAGGAAGUAAAAUGUGGAACUGCAUCUAACGGACAAAAGAAAUCUCUCACACAAGGGGAGCUUUCAGGUCACUGCUACAGUCCUGCUACAGACAGAUAGAAGAACUUUGUCAAACUCAGCUCUUUGACACAUUGGGACAUAACUAAGUCUGCUGGGUAAUGGCUGCUCUCAGGGUUUUUCUCCCUUUCGCCAUCUGCCUCCUGCUGGGGCAUCAGACGUUCGCCCAAAAUGACGCUCCCUGCCAGAAGUCCAAGUGGAACAACGCCUUCAACACCUUCAAAUAUCGUCACAUUCUCAAUAAGUUGCCCAACUCUCUCCAGAAGGAAAAAUGGAAUGAGCUCAUCAAGAAAGACAACAACUGUAGCAGAACCAGGCAGUCUUUCCUUGGUCUUGACAUGCUGGACAAGGUGAAGGCCGUGUGCACGAAGGAAGGCGGGAAGAUCUAUGAGAAGAACAUGUGCAUCAGCAACCAGAUUUUCACUUUUUAUACAGUGAUCAUCCAGGAAGUUACCUGCAAAAUCUUGAAGCAGCUGAAGACACACCAGACGUCUUUCUAUGAUGAAGAUGAAACCUGGUUUGGAAAGUUCCUCCCACCACAGCUGUAGAAGUUCCCACAAACGUGUUGCACCUGCUUCUUUGCUUUCACCUUUUGUCCAGUUCAUCCUUUGGUAGGUUCAUUGCUCACCUUUCUGCCUUUUAAGGUUAUCUGGUGAACUUAAAGGGAUAGUUCACCAAAAAACUAAAAUUCACUCAUUAUCUACUCACCACUAUGCUGAUGGAGGGGUGGGCGACGUGUUGAGUCCACAGAGCACUGCUGGAGUUUCAGGGGUAAACAUUGUUGCAGCCAAUUCCGGUUUAAUUGAUUUAAAUGGAACCAUUUCCUCAGAUGUAAAAAAGACAACACAAAAAAACAUAAAAUGCCUCCAUGUUGCUCGUGUGGUGUCAUCCAAGUGUCUGCAAGCCCCGACAUUCUUAUUCUCCUCGGAGGCCUGUUAAUGUUCGCACAGUCACAACGGAAAACCACACACCCUCUCGGCCAAGGGUUCCUGCGAUGUGUGCGUUGGUGUGGCUACGUCCGCUAGCAUCGCCACUUCCAGUAGUUGACCUUUAGCCCAAAAACUAGGUGAAAAUGAGGCCGUUUUGAUCCGAAUAUGAAUGUCGGGGCUUGCGGACACCUGGAUGACACGACACAAGCAGUAUGGAGGCAUGUAUUCUUGUUUCUGUUGUUUUAUUACGUCUGAAGAAGAGGUCGCCUUGGCUGAAACAUUGCUUACCCCUGAGACUCCUACAGUGUUUUGUGGACCCAAGCACUUCACCCACUCCUCCAUUGGGAUAGUGGUGAGUAGAUGAUGAGUACAAUUUUCUUUUUUCGGUGAACUAUCCCUUUAAACUUUUAAUUGUUCUAAAAAAUUUGAAAUGGUAGAGAAUAGAGUGUAGUUUAGGCCACUCCCGCUGCUGAUACACUUCAAGGAAGUAAAAUGUGGAACUGCAUCUGACUGACAAAAGAAAGCUCUCACACAAGGGGAGCUGUCAGGUCACUGCUACAGAGAGACAGACAUAGACAGAAGAACUUUGUCAAACUCAGCUCUUUGAUACACUCGUACAUAACUCAGAAUCAGAAAAGGUCUGCUGGGUAAUGGCUGCUCUCAGGGUUUUUCUCCCUCUCGCCAUCUGCCUCCUGCUGGGGCAUCAGACGUUCGCCCAAAAUGACGCUCCCUGCCAGAAGUCCAAGCGGAACAACGAAUUCAACACCUUCGAAGAGCGCCACAUUAGCGAUGAGUUGCCCAGCGCAGACGACCUGAACAAAUGGAAGGAGUACAUCAAGAAUAAAGGCAACUGUAAAAGACCUAUUCAGUCUUUCCUUCUUCGUAAAGAUCUAGACAAGGUGAAGGCUGUGUGCAGGGAUGCAGGCAAGAAGAUGUACAAUAAUAACCUGUGCAUCAGCAACCAGCCUUUCACUUUUUUCACUGUGACAAGCGAGAUAGGCACCUGCAACAUCUGGAGUGUAUCUAAGGAAAACAAAUCUCUGAUUCUGGGCUGUAAUACACUGGCGGAUGAGUGUCUGCCUGUGCAUUUUGAGAGAAACCCUCAAAAUCGAGGGCCCCAUAAAUGCGCAGAAAGCUGCCAGGCCCCUUAGAGUAGAGACCACACACGCAGCUUUAAAAUGUCAGGGCUCCAAUAGUUCCUCUUUAAAUUUGAGGAACAUGAGACGACAACAGAGUUUCUAUUCGGGGCAUUUGGGCCAAAACUAUUACAAGUACUGAAAUUAAAUUUGAAGAAUUUAAAGAUUUUAAACAACCAAUAUGUAAACCAUUUUUUUUGACAGGACUUUUUUAUAAAUGUAUUUGUUACUGUAUUAUAUUUCAUGCUAUAACAUGCUUGUACCUGUGUAUCUGUAAGUUGUGCAUGAACUAUCUUUUAGUGAUAUGUUUUAGAGGAUUGAUGCUCCAGUGGCAUUCAAUUCAGUUUUAGUUUUAGGAUUUGGGAUGACCGACUGCAUGCGUAGUGUGUAUUAAAGGGAAUCAAUCACAUUUCCAUACCAAAGGGAUGUAUUUGAUUAUAUAUGUGUGUAGUAUAUUAAUAAAGAGAAUUCACAAGAAUUUGUCUACAGUCAUUUCCAACGUGGUUUGUUUCGCCUUUGCUGAAACCCUGUUUACUACUGAGACUUCUAAAGUGUUUUGUGAACUCAAACACUUCACCCCCCCCCCCCUUCCAUGGGUCUAGUGGUGAGUAGAUAGAGUAAAUGUUAAUUUUUCAGUGAACUUCCCCUUUAAACUGUCCUUAAAAAACUUGAGAAUAAAUAUAAUUUAGGCCACUCCCGCUGGUGACACAACACGAGGAAGUGAAAUGUGGAACUGCAUCUGAAGUACAGAAGAAAGUUCUCAAACAACUGGAGCUUUCAGGUCACUCCUAUCUCACAUGAGCCUCCACGUCUGUUAACAUAAGGUAGGGAAGCUGUGAGACAGCUGUAUGCUACAGUCCUGCUACAGACAGAGACAGACAGAGACAGACAGACAGAAGAAUUUUGUCAAACUCAGCUCUUUGACACACUCGUAUAUAACUCAGAAUCAGAAAAAGUCUGCUGGGUAAUGGCUGCUCUCAGGGUUUUUCUCCCUCUCGCCAUCAGCCUCCUGCUGGGGCAUCAGAUGUUCGCCCAAAAUGACGCUCCCUGCCAGAAGUCCAAGUGGAACAACGGCUUCAACACCUCCGUCAAGCGCCACAUUCGCGCCGGGUUGCCCAACACUCGAGACCGAAACGAUUGGGAAAGGUACAUCAGGAAUAACGGCGACUGUGACAGACCCACGCAGUCUUUCCUUCGUCGAGAGGAGCUGGACAGGGUGAAGGCCGUGUGCACGGAUGCAGGCGGGAAGACGUACAUGAGGAACCUGUGCAUCAGCAACCAGCCUUUCACUUUUUUCACAGUGAGGAUCAAGGAAGGCACCUGCAGCAUCAGGAGCAUAAGCCGGGAAAACAAACAUCUGAUUCUGGCCUGUGAUAGGCUGGGGAAUCAGUGUCUGCCUGUGCAUUUUGAGGGAAACCCUGGAAAUCAAAGGCCCAAUAACAACGCAGAAAGCUGCCAGGCCCCUUAGAGUAAAUGCCACGCAGGCAGCUUUAUAAUGUAAUGGCUCCAAUAGUUCCUCUUUUAGUUUGAGGAACAUGAAACAACAACAGAGUUUCUAUUUAUGGCAUUUGAGCAAAACCAUAACAAGUACUGAAAUUAAAUUUGAAGAAUUUAAGGUUUUAAACAAUCAAUAUGUAAACCAUUUUUUUUACAGGAUUUUUUUUAUACAUCUAUUUGUUACUUAUUUUAUAUUCAAUACUAUAACAUGCUUGUGCCUGUGUAUCUGUAAGUUGUUAAUGAACUAUAUUUAAGUGAUAUAUUUUAGAGGAUUGAUGCUGCAGUGGCGUUUCAUUUAGUUUCAGGAUUUGCGAUGACCGACUGCAUGAGUAGUGUGUAUUAAAGGGAAUCAAUCACAUUUCCAUACCAAAGGGAUUUUUUUUUUAUUAUAUAUGUGUGCGGAAUAUUAAUAAAGUGAAUUCAGAAGAAA